Molecule: transfer RNA, 73 nt
Filed under: Atta colombica
Lineage: Eukaryota; Metazoa; Arthropoda; Insecta; Hymenoptera; Formicidae
Rfam family: tRNA
About the family: Transfer RNA (tRNA) molecules are approximately 80 nucleotides in length. Their secondary structure includes four short double-helical elements and three loops (D, anti-codon, and T loops).
Source: Rfam by way of RNAcentral
GUCUCGGUAGUUUAAAGGCUUAGGAUUCUCGCACGAAAUGCAAGAGAUCCGGGUUCAACUCCCGGCCGAGGCC